This 19276-nucleotide long non-coding RNA is filed under the name Aquilegia coerulea. Its description in RNAcentral is "long non-coding RNA (ACOE_LNC001169)". The record is from RNAcentral. Lineage: Eukaryota; Viridiplantae; Streptophyta; Magnoliopsida; Ranunculales; Ranunculaceae.
AGAUGUGAAGGGACUUACUGCUGAGAAUGUAACAAUCAACAAUAAUCGAGAACCCGAAACAAGCAACCAAGAACCUGAUACGAACUCUAAUCCAAGCAAUGCGCAGCCAUCAAACUCGGAAUCUCGAGCACAACAAAAUUCUGAUGCAGAGGCUGUUGACAAUGAUGAUGACCUGGUCAGUACCACUCAACAGGAUGGAGAUAUGCGUUUUGGUUUUGAAGAUGUGGAACAGCUCAUGAAUGAAAUUGGUAAUGUUCGUGGCAACUUGAGGUUGAUGCCCGAUUUCCAGAGGAGGGAAAUGGCUGCAAAAGUGGCAAUAAAAAUGGCUGCGAUGUUUGGAGAUAGCAGUGCUGAUGAAGAGGGGUUUGAUUGAUAAAGCUUGUGUCAUAAUAAGCAAAGUGAACCGAUCAACAGCUCCUCCAUUUGUCUGCUGAUUACAAGUCAAAUUCAUGUUAAUUGAAGAAUUGGAAUAUCUGUAAAAAAAAAAUGUGGUGAAUCAUCCUUUCUUUACUUUUUUUUUUGCUUAUAAAAGGGUGUAAGGUAAGGGUACUUUUAAUCAUGAUUUUUCUUAAAAUUUAAGGGCACACUUCUCAUGUCAGUAAAUCUUGAUCGAUACUCUAGAGAGUAGAAAGUAAUUUCUUUAAGGUUCUAUUAGACAGAAGCCGCGAGCUCCAUGUAUUGGAUUCAGGUUAUCUGACGUAGACACCAAAAUUAAUGUCCCACAUCGGACAUAAACUCGAAAAACAAUAUUUUAAAUAAUAUUGAUGCAGUUACAUUAGUUGCCCAGGGAUAGGUGGGGAGCUUACCGAUGCUAGGAUUUUCCCAAAAGAAGAGGUUAAGGAUUUGGGCCCAGCCUACCAGAUUAGAAAUUAUUAACUCAAUACAGACUCGGCCCAACAAAAAAUCCUUAUACCAAGCGUCCACGGCAGGGAAAUGCAUACCCACUCUUGAGGGCACCCCCCAAUUUUUUUUUUCUAAUUAAAUAAAUUUCUCAAGAUAAAUUCCUAACCUAACCUCAGAAUCUUUUCAUGACUUUGAUCUCUGAAGUUUGCUGCUCAACUAAAACUAACUAUUUUGGGUUAUACUCGUUUCCGGUUCCGAUUGCAUAUCCAAACAAUGAGUUCCAUUAGCUGUAUACAAGGCUACCAAACGAUUUGAUAUUUCUCUAGUAUUCCUCCCCUACUAUAUGGUCCAUUAGAGAAUAUGAUGUUGCUACCUGUAACGCCCCAAAAUCAUAACACGAAUCCCAAUGAUUAAAUAUCAGAUCUCGAGGCACUCGAACAACCCAACCCAUGAUAAUAAUAUAAUAAUACAAAGUUCUAAAUGAUAAUUAGCAUUAAAAAUACAUAACUUAAUACAAAACAGGAUAAUACAACUACGAUCACCUCUAUACAAAAUUUGUACUAAACACAUCUAUCGUGAGAAUACCUAUAUCAAUACCCUCUGUAACCUCUGCACAACCAUAUCUGCUGAAUCGAUCUAUCCUCGAGCAACUGUUUAACUGAAAAGGGAUUAAUGAUAGGGUGAGCAUUUCCACUUGCUCAGUAGUGACUCACAUUUCCAAAAUACUAUCUAAUCAUGCAUGACGAUUAACCAUACAAAAUAGUUAAAAUAAUGCAGGUUUUAACUGCAAUAAUAAAUAAUAUAAGUAAUUUAAUAAGUAAAUACUUUUAAACCAAAUCUUUUACCUUUUAUAGUAAUCACUAGUUGUACCCGUGGCUUUGCCAUGGUAGUUUCAACUAUUUUUCAUUCUCUGAUAAUUAUUCUUAUGCAGAAUUGAUAAUGAUGUAUACAUUAGUACUAACAAUUACUAUCAAUGAGGAAAACCCUUUAUCCAAUUUAUCUGAGGAGCAAGAUGAGACUAUGCUAGAGUUGUUUGGUUUGAAAUUGGAGCUCACAUAGUAAUGUAUAGAAAUACUUGGAGUAAUUGUGAUAAUGGUUUUAAGAUGGUAGAUAGGAUUUUAUAUAAGCCAUUAAGGUUUCAUUGUAUGACUAUUGUUUGAUAGACUGUACAUCCGACAUCGUGGUAUAAACUCAAUACAGAUGGUGGUGGUAAAAUUUUAACUCACUUUUUGAGCACGCAUUCUAGAAUGUAAGUUGUUUAUUCUUCAAGCAAGCAUACAUGCCUAUCCUAUCUCUUGCAGAGGCAAUACUCACAAAGUCUAAGGCUCACAAUUUCUGAAUCAUACAUAAUAAUAAAACUCACACUGCAGAAUGCCAUAAAACACUCAAAUCAAUGUCACAAAUGAUUUUUUUAUAUCAAUGUCAAAACAAUACAUCCCUGAUCGACAUGUUUAAAUGCACCGUCAGGUUCAAAUAUCACACUAUCAACAUAUUAAAACAACUUACCAGAAAAGAAAGAAAAUAUUUACUGCAGGGGGCCCGUUACUGUAGUGUUGCCAAAAACCUAUCAAAAGUUUGUUCAUGCACUGUGUUUCUCUCUGUGCUGCACUGCUGCCAUGUGAAACUUGUUGCACUGUUUCCCUGCAUCAUCUCCCUCUGUUUGAAUAGUACCCAGCUGCUACCACCUAUCCAUAGUCAAUCCUUGCCAAUCAUUAAUAAAUUUUGAGAAGCUAUAUAUGACCAUUUUCAUGUCAACACCUCUAUUGGUUAUAUAUAUCCAACCAGUCCCAUAAGUGGCUCAUCACCGUCAUAACCACUUUGUUGAUAUUUAGAGUGAUAGUGUUGAAAAUAGUCUCGUUCCUUGUCGUUUACAUUGUCCAUAGGAAAGCAUAUGGUAGGAUUUUUCAAAACAUAGCUGCAAUGUCUCGUAAAUUUCAAAUGCAUGUCCCGUAAUGACGUGUACUUAUUUGGAUGAUUAGAUAUGAUAUCAAACCUUUAAAGACUACUAAGCAAUAACUAACCUACAUUUGAAUUUGGUUACCACGAUUCACUUGCACAUGAGCUCAUCUGUAAAUCUAGCUUGAAAGGGAGUGAGAUUAGAGGACAAAAAAAAUAAAAUAAAAUAAAAUAAAAAUAACAAGGGAGUCUGUCGUACAAACCACAAAAUAAAUAUAAAAGUAUAGAUUAAACUACAUAAUGUAGUGACCCAAUCAAACAUAAGUUCCAGAAAUCUGUAACCUCUACUGUGCCAGUGAGUAUAAGACGGUUCCUUUCACUAUAGAUAUCAUGGAUCCCCCAGUAAUCAUUUUUUUUUCCUGAAAAUGGUCACGUUCCUUGAUUUCCACUGGGUUUAAUUGCUUGAUUCUGGGCCAUUUGGAGAUAGACAUUAAGAAUUGUUAGACACUCAUUAAUUAAUAAUAGCUACCCCUAAAUUUUGUCAACAUUUCUUCCCUAAUUCUAAUUAACAACUACUACUUCUGACAUAUGCUGUCAAAGGAUGGAAGCUCAAAGGAUGGUACAUGGUAUUAACAAAUAGUUGACAGACUAUGUUGCGAUAGACAACUUGGCACAAAGAAGGAUAUACUAUAGUACUCUCAAAUCUCAACAUGUCUAUUUGCAAAAUUGUUGCAAGAUUGUUGAGAAUGAUAGAUCGUAAAGAGCAAAAUGAUAUCAAAUCAUAUACUUUUCAAAUUGGUCUUUUAAAUUGAGAGUUUGUUUGUAAAGAGCAGGACGCUAGAAGAGGCUUUAUGGGUUUGUUUGUAAGUUGAGAUUUUGAGAUGAAUUUUUUUACAAAGAGAUAUGCUAGAAACGUAGAUAAGCAUUCAUAAAUGAAAGAUAAAGGAGUUAAAAUUAACAAAACAUAGCUGAAGGAUUUAAAAUUACCUGAGAUAGAGGCAACAACAACAACAACACAAAGAGAGAGAGCCACGGUUAUGUGAGAUUAACAUAUUUCGCUAAACACCUAGUGAGAAAGUGUUUGAGAAUACGAUAAGUGCUUGACAGAAUGUUACAAUAAAAAUAGCCGAUAACGUAGUAACGUCUAUAUUCUACCAAUCUAUGUACAGUUCAAAAACUCACUUGCACUCUAGCUAGCUCAUUAUGCUUAGAUUAUAACGAUGUAUGAUAAGUUUUUGAGAGGAUAUAACUCAUUUCAUCACCUAUUGGUAUAACAUUACAACAAAAAUAAAAUAAAAUUGUGAAAUUAAAAUGAGAUUUACAGUUUUGGGUAAUAAUUUAACAUGAUCCUCUUUAAGGUCUUACUACUUUAGUUGCUAAUUUAACACACUACAACUACAAUAUUAAACUAAUAUAAAAAAAAAAAAAAAAAAAAUGAACACACUCAGUGUACAUCAUAGAGGGGGUAUGUUGAAAAUUGUCAAUAUGAAUUUACAUAGACAUGUUACUGGGUAAAAGUUUCUCAAAAAGUGUGUUGAAACUAAUGCAUUUGCUUAAUACGUAGUUAAGAUAAAAGAUCUAUUGUUUCUCAGACUCUCAGUGGGGGUAAAAUGAUGAUUUGACAAUCGUUAGUCUCCAAUAAAAAUCUCAAGCAAAAACCUCUCUGCACAUCAAGAUUAAUAUUUGCUCCAUCUAUCUAUCUCUCUUAGCCAUACUAUCUGCUCAACUAUUUUUACAUCCAUCCACAGUCAAUAAAAAAAAACACCAUGUACUUUUUAAAUAAGGCUUUAUCAAAAUUAUUUGGUAUCUAAGAGAAAAAAGUUACCUUUAACAUUAGAAUAAAACUUACAGCUUGAGACAGAUUGCAGAGUAGUAUCGUCUUCUAUAUUAAUUAACUCACUUUUGUUAAUUAGUAUUAGUUUGUUGUGUUUCUUUUAUAACAUGUAGUACAAAUAUAUUUUCAUAUACUAUAGUUUGAGGUACAGUUAGGGAGUCUAAAAUAUAAGAUACUCACAUACCUUAAAACAAUGGUAGGAAAGAGGUGAAUCAUGAAGAUGCCUCACUAUUUUUCUAGGCAAAUAGAUUCUUGAGUGUAACUCCUUCAUUUUUUCAGAAUUAGUUUUCAUAAGAUCACCCUUUAACAUCAAAUAUUCUCAUAAAAAAACGUAUUCAAAGGAUUGGCUUGAAUAGUCUAUGAUGCCUCCUUGUAUAUAAAGUUAGUGCGAUGCAUACAUGUUGUUGGGAAUCUUAUACUGUGCUUAUUUUACAACAUGCAUGGUCAUAGAUAUAACUCAAAGAAGUGGAGAAGAGGAAUCCAACAAAUAUAUAGAAGAACGAUGAAGACUACAACAUAUACCAAUUAACGUACAGGAAAAAAAAUAUUUGAAUUCAUACCUACAACUUUCUUAAGAACCUAACAACUGACUUCUUACAAAUUAAUUAAUUUAUUAAAAUCUCAGAACCUCCAACUUUUAUAAGUAGAUAACAUAGAUUUCAUCGUAACCAUGAGAUGGAAAUUCAGGUGGGCAUGUGUUUAGAGGUGUUAAUGAAAAAGUAUUGUCUAAGCAAUUGAAGAAAGCAACAAAGAGACUAAAUAAUAAGAAACUUAUAUCGGUUUAUUCAUAACUUAAUCCACCAAAAGUCAAAGUUUACCAAACCUUUAAGUUGUUAUAUUGCAGACUUUAUUAUCCCCGUCUUAUUAGCAUCCCAGUAUCAAUAUUCAAUAGUAUAGCGGAUUCUGCACCUCCAUUCUUCCAAUAUGCUUUUAGUUAUAUUCCUACCCAACAGUAUGAUUAAUCGAGAGACCCGCAACCAGCUCGUACAAUAAAGUUUUGCAGACUUAAACAAAAGCUUACUCUUGACGAUGUUCAAGAUAGUGGACCUGCAUAACAUGUAAAACUACUCAAAACAUGAUCGCCAAUUGUUGAAUUGAUUUAGAAAUUACUGAAAUUUAUUAUUUCAUGCUUUUCUGAUUCUCUCACACAAACAGUAAGUUACAAAAACAUAUAUGCACAAAACAGAAACAAUGAAGAACAAUAUUAUAAAUAGUAGGAUCUUUUUGCUUACAUCAAUUUGAGAGAGACAACUACGUAACAAAGGAUUGUAUAUUGCGUAGCCAUAUUUCAGCUAGCCACAUUGCAGAGAGAGCUAGUGGAUAAAAAGGAUUGUAACAAAUUAAUUUUAAGUUUGUCUUCAUAGGUUAGCUUUAAAAUAAAGAAACAUUGAAGAGACUUAUAAUUCAGUAGCUUGUAAUACACUAAUACUCAGUUUGGAAAAGAUAUGUGAUUCUUAACGUUUGAUGAAUAAUUGAAUCAACUUAAAAUUAAGAACUGGCUAAUGUGCUUGCAAAUACAUUAGCUAGUUCACCUGUUAAUUCAAUGACUAUAGUUCGAUUAACUUGAUAACUACAAAGUCUCAAAACAAAGUUCAAUACGAAUUGGGUAUGUAAAUUCCAAAGUUGAUAGUAUGUUCAAGUGUUCAACAAUAAAUUUCAAAGUAGAAAAUAAAUUCCGAAGUUCAACUAUUUGAUUGUAUGUAGUUCAACCGUCACAAUCAAGCUGUGGACUCUCCCUACUCCCUAGUGUUCAACAUUCCUUAAGAUCUAUAUACCCUCCUCCCCUUCCAGUGCACACUCUAGUACCAUUUAAACACAACCCAUCAACACACUAAUGUGAUUUUCAUGACAAUGGGAAUCUAAAAUUUAAAUCAAUUUGAUGUAAACUUGGUUUCAUACAUAACCAUUAACAAUCAUGGCUAAAAGCAUUAUUAUGUAAAUUGUAUUAAAUAAACUGCCUCAAUUGUCCAUUAAAAAACAUAGUGUUGUAGAUAAUACAAAUUGUUCCACAAUUGGGAAGAAGUAUAAAGUACUUGAUAAUCCAAGAUUAAAGCAGGUGUGUAGAAGACAAAGAGAUUAUGCAUCAGGGUGUAGAUGACAAAGAGAUUAUUAUAAUGGGAGAUGAGAGGAGGGGUAUGGAACAGGGAACUCAGAGCAGGAGAUAUGCAAAUUAAUGGAUAACCCGAACAUUUACAAAAUAUUAAUUCCAAAAUGUUGUUCAGAAUAAAACCAAUUUUAAACAAAAGUUCAUUAAGUUUUAUGUAUGAGGAGAAGAAAUAAAGAAUAUUGGUUGAUUUUAAUAUAAGAAAAUAUAAAUUGAAAUCGGUGAGUUAAAUAAAAAUCGAAACAGUAAGAACAUAUCUUUGUCGGCCCAAAAUACACCUUAAAUCAACCCAACCCAGUAUAGAAGCCAGCUAUGUUUGUCUAACCCCCAAAAUAUAUAGAAGUCAUUCACACUUGUUUAUAACUGAGAUUGUCUCAACUGACAAAAUAUAUUUCUGCCACAAUGGGUCACUGCUAAAGAUUUAAAGAUAAAGCUUCCAACAUUACAUUAUGGGAAGUUUUUAUGGUGUCAAGAGAAAGCAACUUAUACUAACCGGACAUCACCAACAUAAUUGAUAAAAAUAUUCUUAAUAAAAAAAAUAUUACUUAAUAUAUCACGGUGAGAACCAAAACUAUUAGCAAACUAUUUAUCUAUUCCAUACAUUAUCCCCCCACCCCUAACCGAUUCAAACUAUAAAGGGCAUUCCAUUGUCUUUGGAAAGCACAUCUGAGGAUGUUUUGGUGUGGACUCAUCACCAAUCUGGUAAUGUCGGUCAAAAAAAUGAAUCACUGACAGUCCAAUGUUAAUUUUUAUAGUCUGCCCUACCCUUCAUUGUACAAAGGACAUAGUAUAAUUCGAACAUCUGGCUUGAUAGAAUAGACAUCUAAGCCGGAGGUAAUGCAACAACCCUUCGACCCAUUUUUGUCUCACAACAGCUUUGCUGUAGAAAUUUUUAUUCUCUUAAUUUUCAAGAGCUUUUCAAGUUUUUUAAAGACCAUAUGAGAGAGUGAAUGGGUGAGUUUUUAGGAUACACGCUCAAAUAUGUCAUUGGAUCUAUCUGUUAGGUGCCUGGAUUAUGUUCAAUCGUUAUAAGGUGUUUGUAGCAAAUUGGUAAGGUCUGCAUCCAUGAAAAACAUUAACUCUAAAGACAGUCUACACACAAAACUGAAAUUUCAAUCUGAUACACACAGGGGACUUAUGGGUCACCUUAAAAACAUUUAUAGCAUUAAAACCUAAUAAAUUAUAUGCCUACAUAAUUGCACAGGAGACUAUCUAAAUUUUUUUUUUACUUGACAAUAUUUCGAGAUAAAUAAGCAUAGCCUAUUCUUCUUAAAAAUCACACACAAUUCUGAAUUUAGAUAAACAUAUCUGACUACUUUACAUAAAAUUUAGUUCUUUUCAAAUUGUCGUCUCAAUUGCAAUAACAUAAUUUAAUUUACACACAAUUCUGAAUUUAAAUUGAUUUGGAAGCAUAAACAAUUAUAAAGAAACAACAUCAACAAUAUUCAAAGUUCAAAUAAUUGGGAUGAAGACUUACUAUGAUAAAUUGAAGGAGAGAGAGAAUUGUGAUUUAAGUUAUCUGUAUCGAUUGAAGGAGAGAGAUCAGAGAGCGGGCAAGAUCGUGAUUUAAAAGUACCUUAAAUCACAACUUAAGCCCAUAUUCUCGACCUGGAUCUUUUAAUACCCAUUUAAACUAUUAAUACCCAUUCAAAGCCCAACAACUUAAGCCCAUAACUUAAACCCCAUAUUCUGUCUUUGUCUAGUUAUGUUUGUCUCCCAUGUUUGUGUGUCCACGCACAGUAUAAUAUAGAUACUAACCAUGCAUCCAUACAAUAAGUCGGGUAGCUGCAUCCUAUUAGAGUGGUGAGAAUACGACUGGAACUCAGUCUCAGCCCCAGGCAAAUCAUCUUGGUUCAGUACUUUCCAGUGUGAACCUGCACCGUUGUUUUCCUGAUUAUCCGGUCAGGUAGUGAUUACCGUUUUUGUGCCCGAAGACACUAACCCUCUUUUAGGGCUCAGGUGGGCCCUUUGACCACGUCUCCUGAUACGAGGAGUCCCUAACUUACGGUGGUCAAUCGUUCGACGACUGCAGAGUGCACAGGAUCCUGACACACGUCCAGGAGUAGACUAACUCUCACCCCUCGUGUCUAAACCUCCUCGAGGUAACAUGUAUCUCCACAACACACUAACCACCAACAACGUACCACUAAAAGCAUGGUAAUCCAGAAAGGUAGAAGAGGAAUUCCCGGAAACAUCCAACAGGGUUCGCCUCUAGAAAGUGCCCAUUCACCAUCUAAAGGUGAACAACGCGUAUGUAAUCCUAGAAAGAAUUGUCGUCUCUGAAAUAUAACAACAAUUCAUUCUUGUAGGAAUUCACAGAUCUCUUGUCAGACCGCCUCGUGAUACAAUAUAUAUAUAUAUAUAUAUAUAUAUAUAUCAAACCAGUCCCCUUUUCACGGCUACCCUACCCGGGCCAAACCUGGAGAGACUAUCCCCUAUUCAUGGCUACCCUACCCGGGCCAAAGCCAAAGGGAUUAUAAUCCGAUCUGUAAUAAUAUGUUCGUGUAAGCACCCAGAUCAUAUACCCAAUUCAGGAACCUCACACCAUACCAACAUACAACUGGGAUCUCACAUCCCACAUACAAAAUCCAUUUCCCUUUUCCCAUCCUGGAAAAGAGAUGCAAUAAAAACCUCGAUAGCUUUUCCGUUUAUAAAACCAUUUCAAUAUACAUAUACUGCUUUAAUAACUUCAGUAUAAAACAUGAUAUCUGUAUUAACCAUUUUUGUGAGGUUGGUCAAUACAUUAAUGAAUGAUGAUGAUGAACAACAAUAAUAAAGUAGAGACAUGAACACCAUUGUAUACGUGGUUCGGCAAUUGUGCCUACGUCCACGGAGAGGGAGAAAGAAGUUUAUUAUAGUAGUGGUGAUGAUACAAAAUGGGAGCUCGAUUAUGAGGAGAGCUCGAGAGAGAUGAGACCUGAGAGGUGAGGUCUCAUCAUGAGAGAUUGGAGAGGUCGUUGAUCAUGAGAUGACCUCACCAUGAGAUCGUGUUGAGAGCAUUAGACUAUCAGCAGAUCAGAACAUGUGAGAAGAUGAGAACGUGCCUAGAAUGAGUAGCUUGCCUUCAUAUUUAUAGGCUACAAUGUAACUCCAUUCUUAGCAUUUACUAGGGUAAUAAUGAGAGAAUAUCUUUGUAGUAAUUGGCUUUAACUUUGUAACUUGUGUCAUCAAGAGAGAGCCCAUUAGAUGUUGACACGUGGCACCAUGAUGAACGGUAGAGAUGGUGCCACAUGUAUGUUGUAUAUAGUACCCCUACAAUAUCUGUAACUAAUCACUUUAAUAAAAGCUAUAAUCGAUAAACCAUGAGUAAUCUAUAUAUACCAAACAAAACCAUGCAUGCAUUUUUAUCAUCAAUAAUAUAUCAAUUAAUUUGUAACAUUUAAAAUAUGACACAUGAAAAACAGUAUAAAAGAAAUGUAAGUCCCUACCUCUUGCUCGUUAGCUCCUUAACUUCCUUCUAAAUUUUAAGCUAAAAAACACUCAACUAGAAAUGCCGAUAUCCUAAAAACACGGUUGUGUAUACAUAAGUCUAAAUUAGUACUAUUCAAAUUAAUAUCAUUUCACAAGUUUAGGUGAAGUGUUUACCGGCAACUUCGUGCCAUUAAAAUCCACUUCCAAAGCAUUAUAAAUCUCGACCAAGUUGAAUUCUAUAUGGCUUUAAAACCCCACUUCCCAAUCAGGCCAUAAAAACCAUGAGCAAUGCCCUUUAUGUAUUGUCCCAACUCCCAAUCACAGCCAGUUAAUUACAGAUCAAAACACCAACUUCCUAUAAUUUUUAUACCCUUAUUGAAUCGUAAUUGCCGAGCUUUGGGUUGUAAUUAUACUGAGUUAUUGAAACCUUCAUCUUGUAAAUCAAAUCCUCCUAUAAUCACUUCAUGAAUCAUGAACCUAUAUUAUAUAAUACCUGAAAUCCCAACACAUCUAGAGAAUCCCUUGAGUUUACUUUCUUCCUCCAUUACCUAUUUCUCUAAACAAAAAGUCACCUCGCUGGAAUUUCUAUCUCAACAGAGAAAUUAUGAAAGAAAGAGACAGGCUUUCAUUGCCAACCAAGACACCCAUAUAGGACGGUAAGUUUUGAGCAGGAAGAAAGAAAGUGAUAAGCACUUACAUAUAUAUUAACUUGUUUUAAUUAAUUUCUCAUGUUAAUCCCUUUCCUAACUUUACUCCCUAUUCCAAAAUGAGACAACUUCUGCUAUAUAAAGUGAUGAAGCAUGCAACUCUCUCUCUCUCUGGUUUCUCAAAUAAGUUAAGAAAUAGGUGAACCAGGCCAGCUCAUCCUUGUAGGAAGGUACGAAGUGUUCGCAUUACAUCAACACCUAUCCACUCUAAAUACUAUGGACUUGUACUACCAUGGGCCACCAAUUUAUCUACACCAAACUACCUUAACAUGGGUGUUCGCCCCAGGAAGGAAGCCAAUGAGGAACUCCACCACUGCUGCUGCAUCUGGUCAUCUUGAUCGACCUGCUCGUUCUGGAGUUCUCUUGCUUCUUCAUUAGGGCCCAUCAAGGCAUCAUGCGUGCAGCUGGAGUAGGCUCAUCAACAACCGACGUCUCCUCUCCCUCGGGCGACCCCAACAGCUGUUUCUUGAGAUUGUCACAAUACUCUUGCCACUCAGCACCAUUCUUUCUGCAGAAGCCCUCCCAGUACGCAACAGAUUCCUUAGCAGCAGUAACCUCUCCUUGCAAGCCCUCCAUCUCUUUCUUCAAAGCCAUAAUCUCCCUAACCCUGUCCCUUACCUUAGUCUCGGCAACAAGAGCAACGUUUCUGGCCUGCUCGAGCUUGUCAUUCAGAUCGUUCUGCUCGAUCUCAGCCCUAGCUCCAACCUCAGCAACCAGACGCACUUCCUGGAAGCUAGCAUUGAGCUACACAAAUAACACAGUCAGAAAGCAAUGAACACAAAGUUAAAGGAAUCAAACAUUAUUCUUAAAACUCACCAGAGAAAGAGCAGAAUUUAUCUUCGAGCAGGUUACAAGAAGACUUUGAAACUUAACCAUUCGAGCUUCAGCAUCCAGAAUGGUGCCCUCGUUAACAGCUCGGGCAACACAAGGGUCAUCUAUAGCACUUUUAUUGUCAUAAACUACGUGCUUCCCUCCUUGGCCGUCAAGAUAUUCAAAGGGACCAAGUCAAAAUUCAGAUGAGGCACCCUUACCUUUACCAGAAUAACGAACAGCACACUUUCUAGACAAGGGAGUAGGCUCAAAAGCUUUCAAAACUUUCGAAGGGACAAAAGAGGGGAUGACUGGAGGUUGCUCUAUCAACUUCAAAUUCCCAGAGGACGACCUUUUCCUGCUCGACCCAGAAGGCAUCUUUGGAAGGGAGGUCGGAGGAGUAACGACCUGUGGGCUCGAAACAAGAUCGCUAGGCCUCGAGCUACCACCAGCUCAGAUAAAAUAGUUACUUAUCUGGGUCGAGCAGUGAAACACAUAUUUUUUACUAAAUGGGCACAACAAUGUCUCAGAAAACAUGAUUUGGAGCUAUUUUAGCAAUAUGAAGUAUCAAAACUUGUUUGAUGUUUCACUGGACAAAGCGUUAUGGGAAGGAAUCGGGUACCGAAGUUGCGCUAUUUUGCUUUCCAAGGAGGUCAUCUCAAUCUCGCCAUGGUGUAUUGCAGUCUGUAGAUUCGUAGAAAGAAAAGGUGUUUUUAUUCUAUCGUAAUAAAAAUAUUUAAUUUGAAGGAAGGCUGAAAGUGUUGCAAUUCCUUGUUAAGCUUUUAGGUUAGUGUCAUCUUCAAAACAAAUCAAAUAUAUUUUAGGUGAUGUCUUGUUUUUUGUUAAGAUGGACCCUAUAAGCAGAGUCUUGGAUCAGUUCUCUGUAUAUGGUUUGAUAUAAUUUUGUCUUCCGUUUGUCUGACUGUUCUGCUCCAUGACCUUUUCUUGUAUAUAAACAUGGAUCAGUACUAGACUUCUAGUAGAGCCUCUUUUCUUAUCAAACACAUAUUAAAUAAUGUAUUGUGAAAAUUGGAAUACCUUAUUCUGCAGAGGCAUUGCUAAUUUUAGUGGGAGAACAAUAUUAUAUGAUUCAUAUCCAUGUUGAACAUUAAUGUCAUCUUUUAAAAGUAAUUCUAUAGUUACUUUAUCUUUCGGAGUGGUUGUGUUACAUCUGCAAUUUGAAAAUUAAUGCCAUCAGAAAUAGCAGCUUACUUGAGUUGUUUCAUUGCUUGAGUAUGUAUCCUACCAGUUACCCUGAACAAUGACUUGUACUUGUGAAAUUCUAGAAUGCUGUGGCUUUUGCUAGCAAAAAAAAAAAAAAAGAAUGGUGUGGCUUUGAUGUGUAUGUGAAGGCUGUAGCUACCGCAAAGCAAUGCCGUGUUUUGAGGUUGUGGAUGCCUAUUUGCAUAUUAUUGCAGUUGUGUCUUUUACUAAUUCAGCAGUGCAGGUUACUCAGAUUGGUUAGAGUGGUACAGUUGAUCCUGAUCCUCAGAGCAAGCAAUACAUUUAUCACAAUUUAUUGAUAUGUGUUGAUCAAUGUUGCAAUUGGCAACCAACUUAUAUAAUAUAUAUACUGCCUAAGAGUAUCUAUUACAAGCAAUAGGGGCUAGGGUUUUGCACAGUUGAGUAUCUAUCCUUUUGGGGGUGUAUGUUACCGUUACAACAAAUUUCUUUUGAUUAAUCACAUCGACAUUCGACACCAAUGAUAAUCUAAAUCUAAACUACCUUAAAGAGAGCAGUCCUGUGAAUAGUGAAAUUAAGUCAAAUCUUCUCCCCAGUCAAAUCUCAUCUGCAAUCUUUCGUAUUCCUGUCUUCGAUUAAUCUCGACUUGCUGCCAUUCUUCCCACCUCUGUGCCGGUCCUUCCUCUUCCAACAUCCACACCACCUCUGACAUUGUUGGCCGCUCUUCGGGUGAUGGUUGAGUACAAAGUAGAGCAACUUUGAUCAUCAUCUCUACCUCUUGACUGUUGUAAUUCCUAGUUAAGUUGCGGUCCACAAUGGCUCCUAGUCUUUUCUCCCUUUCCAACUUCUUCACCUGUUGUAUUGACCAUAUUUGUGAGGUUGGUCAAUACAUUAAUGAAAGAUGAUGAUGUGUAUGAUAUGAACAAUAAUAAUAAAGUAGAGACAUGAACACCAUGUAUACGUGGUUCGGCAAUUGUGCCUACAUCCACGGAGAAAGAGAAUGAUCUUUAUUAUAGUAGUGGUGGUGAUACAAAAUGGGAGCUCGAUUAUGAGGAGAGCUCGAGAGAGAUGAGACCUGAGAGAUUGGGGAGGUCGUUGAUCAUGAGACCUCACCAUGAGGUCGUGUUGGGAGCAUUAGGCUAUCAGACCAUCUGAGCAGAGAUGAGACCAUCUGAGCAGAGAUGAGAACAUGCCUAGAAUGAGUAGCUUGCCUUCAUAUUUAUAGGCUACAAUGUAACUCCAUUCUUAGCAUUUACUAGGGUAAUAAUGAGAGAAUAUCUUUGUAGUAAUUGGCUUUAACUUUGUAACUUGUGUCAUCAAGAGAGAGCCCAUUAGAUGUUGACACGUGGCACCAUGAUGAACGGUAGAGAUGGUGCCACAUGUAUGUUGUAUGUAGUACCCCUACAUAAGCCCCCUCUUUUUAGGUCGAACGGAGUUCGGGCUGAAAAGAAGUAAUCGAACCGAUCUAGCCCCCAAGAUGAAUGAAAUAUGGGGUUCUUUAACGAAGUCGAUCCGCCCCAAAUUUUGAUGAGCUUGAUCAUUGAGAUUUGCAGGACGCGAUGAAGGUCCCUUGUGGUUAUGGCAACUCGAUCAUGAAUUUGUGUAUAGCGAGCUAGUUACUUCCAAGGAGACUUGGUAGCUCGUUCAGAAGGCAUGUAGACGAGAUGGACAGCUGCAAGCAGGUCGUACUGAAGUGGGUCUUCUUGUAUGCAUGGGUUGUUGGUCUCGGUCAUGCUUUAAGGUGGUCGCCUUUUUGUGGUCGAGUUGCAUAGACCUGAUAAUGUUAGCAUGUGAAACAUUAUAAAAUUCAAUAAAAGACUUACAUGGAAUUGUACGUCUUCCUUAUGACUUGUAUGUACUAUCUUUGUCUCCUUGUGACUGGACACUUCGAUAGAUAUGGCACUUUGGAGUGCAAUGUAGCUCGUUUGAGAAAGAGCAUUGGUUGACCAAGUGUUUUGAGAGUUACUUGGAACCUUUUGGUGCCCGAUCUAGUGAAUGGUCGCAGCGUGGAGACCUGUUUGACAAUUCUCGGGCAUGUGGCCUUUGUGGGUCUGCAUUGCGUUGAGAGUGAAUGCGUUCGACCAGGCCUAGCCUGUGGCUAGAGAAUUGUGUUUGAGGUCGUCCCGCAUACGAGUGACUCACUAGUCAAUGAGGGUGGCCGUAUUGUAUAUCAAGCAUUUCACUUGUAAAGAGUUAAGUGAAAGCAAUGUGGCACAUUUGUACAAAAAUAGCUCAUGGGGAGUGAGGUCGUGUUCAUGUGACCUGCACAUAGAGAGAGCUACAAAAAAUAUCAUUAAUAGCUAAAUGUGCUAAUAAUAAGUUAACUUCAUUAGAUAAAGUGAGAAUAGCCCCCUGUAUGGCAUAAACAUUCUUGAGGUCGUUGUAAGACCUGUAAUUUGAGGAGGUCGUUGAUAGACCUGGUGAGGUCGCGAUGAAGGACCUGGCAUGAAGGACCUGGUAUGAGGGUCUUGGUAUGAAGAACCUGAGAGGUCGUUGGCUUAGGGACCUGAGAGGUCUUUUGCUUAGAGACAUGCAUAAGAGGUCAGGUCGCGAUGAGACCUGAGCUCGUCUGCUUAGAGACCUGAAUAUGUGAGGAGGUCUCUGCAAGACCUGAACAUGUGGCCAUUAAGAAUGUAACUGAUGAUAUAAAAUCUUGAUCGAGUUAUGAGAAUAUAUGUUACAUAGAUGCAUAUAAUAGUCAAUUUAUAGGAGACAAAAUAGAAUGAACAGUAAGAUCAUAGUGAAUUGAUACUUAUCUUGCUUUCGUCGAGUUUCACAUACAGUAACCAAAAGUAAACCCCCAAUUUGAAAAUUGUGAUUGCAAUUCUGCCAAAUAGAAUUUCUUGAACUUGAAAUCACCACUUUGAGAGCCUUACAACAAUGGUGUAAUGGUGGGGUUGGUGGGUGGAAUUCGCUUGAGAAAAUCCCAAGUCCCUGUAGUCGGCGCCAAAUGUAUUGACCAUAUUUGUGAGGUUGGUCAAUACAUUAAUGAAAGAUGAUGAUGUGUAUGAUAUGAACAAUAAUAAUAAAGUAGAGACAUGAACACCAUUGUAUACGUGGUUCGGCAAUUGUGCCUACAUCCACGGAGAAAGAGAAUGAUCUUUAUUAUAGUAGUGGUGGUGAUACAAAAUGGGAGCUCGAUUAUGAGGAGAGCUCGAGAGAGAUGAGACCUGAGAGAUUGGGGAGGUCGUUGAUCAUGAGACCUCACCAUGAGGUCGUGUUGGGAGCAUUAGGCUAUCAGACCAUCUGAGCAGAGAUGAGACCAUCUGAGCAGAGAUGAGAACAUGCCUAGAAUGAGUAGCUUGCCUUCAUAUUUAUAGGCUACAAUGUAACUCCAUUCUUAGCAUUUACUAGGGUAAUAAUGAGAGAAUAUCUUUGUAGUAAUUGGCUUUAACUUUGUAACUUGUGUCAUCAAGAGAGAGCCCAUUAGAUGUUGACACGUGGCACCAUGAUGAACGGUAGAGAUGGUGCCACAUGUAUGUUGUAUGUAGUACCCCUACACCUGUAUAAAGGGGAAAUAUAUACAUAUCACUAAACAGUUAGAAACAAGAGAAAAUACCUGUUUUAAACAUCUGCAUUAAUAGAAAUGAAGAGAUUUCAUGUAUACCACAAAUGCUGUCAAUUGUUAACAAGUCAUUCAUACAACUAGACUGGUCAUGCAUACCUCUGAUUUUAGUAACAUCACAAAUUUACUGCAUACUUUUGUAAUUUUGGGAUUCAACAAGAUCAGUCACCUUCAGAACAGAACCAGUUUCCUUUUGUUACUUCAUAAAAAACUGGUUUGGCAUCUUAUGUGCUAUCUUGCACCCAGCUAAAUUAUGUACUGUAUAAGUCCGACUGGCUUAUUGUUGAAAAUUUUGGCAAUUAAUAAAUGGUAAAUAACUUCACGAAGUUGAGUGCUUACAUGAUCAAGCAAUAAUACAUCGUCUUCUUCCUCCAACCGUGAGAAAUCUAUAGCACGCUCUCCAACUCCCACCAAGUUCUUGACUUUCGAACUCUCUCAAUCAUCGUUCAUGGGGAUUCAAAUCAUUGAAGUUAAUGGAAUUUGCUAUUAAACGUAGCUGUAGAGUAGCAAUCAAAGUUGUUCUUUGUAUUAACCUAUUUCUAGAUUAAUGCAUUCAUUGGGUCAGGCCGUUGUUGGACUGACCAAAGGGGGAGUUUGAGAUCGGGGGUGGCUGCACCUCGAUGAGAUCGAGAUUGCCUACGUACUUUAGCUCGAGGGAAUGGAACUUAUAGAUCAAGCCAUGGUAGUUCUGAUUAUAUAAAAGAUGAAAGGGCGAAGAUCAUGGGAUCUUGCGGAUUCUCCGACAUCUUUAUGAUUGUGUAAUGUUCUCCAAUGAUUGUGUGAUAUUCUCCAAUGAUUGUGUAACAGCUGCCAUGAUUGUGUAACAGCUGGAGAUAUUCUCUAUGCGUUGAUUUAGGGCACGUGCAUACGAAGAGGUCGUCCUAGGUCGUAUAGUCGAGCUACUCUGAUCGGCCUUCAAGUAGGUCGAGCAGUGAACGACCUGUGAGAAUGAUGAGUAGGCCAUGUGUCGUGUUUUGAUUGGCUGGAGCAUAUAGUACCCCUACAUAAGCCCCCUCUAUUUAGGUCGAUAAAGAAAUCGGGUUGAAAAGACGUGUUGAGCUCUGAUCGAUGUUAGCUGAUUUGAAGUUUGCUUUUUGAAUUUCUUACUUUUACACGUGGUGGUCAUGCAUGCUUAUCUCGUAUCAUCAUUGCGCCUUUACGGGGAAGUGGAGAAGUUUCCUCGAGCAGUUACCAGAUGAGAUUAUGGCAACUGAAGUACUCCUUACUGAUUUCUCUUUGCUGGACACGCGGAUUGAUCCAACGGUGGAUAUGAAUCGUCGGACGAGUGGGUAAUAACUGCAAAGGUCGUGGGUGCCUUCGUUUGAUCUUGCCCGUUGAUGCUAUGUGAUUCGAUGGCUGGGAUCUCGUUUGUACUAGUAUUUAAACUGUAGCUUGUAAGCAAAGUUCUUACUUUCUUCAUUUACUCUCUCGAACUGCUGCUGUUUUGCCAUUGCGACCUGAAGGUCUUGAGAGUUUUUGAGGUGAGUUUGUAUUCUCUUGCUUUUUUCUUUCUUCUUUCGUUUCUAUUUACUUUGUUUUGUAAUUUCUGAGAGAUGUCUGAGGGUAGUGACCCCCAAAAUGACCACCUUAGCGGUGAUGGUGCUGGUGAAUAUGAGUUUGAUGAUGAACGGACUUGUUCUGGUGACGAAGCUGGUUCUCCUGAUCGAGAGGAAGAGUGUGAAGAUGAGGGGAGCCCUGCCUUCAGCCCAGCAAACUCUAUCUUCAUCUUUGGCAUUUAGCGUAGCAACAACAUUUUGACAAUCUCCUUCAAAAAUAACUUUCCUGAUCUGACACUUUAUUGCUAACAUGACGGCACACUCUGCAGCAAUGGCUUCAACAACCUCAGCAUCACUUUCUUUAACAAUACGAUAUCCACAGACUAUCACUUUACUAUCUGAAUCUCUGAUCAAUACACCCACCGCAACAAUACUUGUAUUCCUAUUAAUACCACCAUCAAAAUUAGCCUUAUAAACACCAUCAGGAUGAGCAAUCCAUUCUACCACAUUCUGUAUAUUAUUAGUAAGACCAAACCAGGAUCUGAUUCCACAAAAAACAAAUAUCUUUUUUUCCAAAGUUUCCAAUUAUAUAUAAGCAGUUUUAUUUAGGAUAGUAUCAUAUAAGCAUUGUACUUUAGCAAAAAUACAAUCAUUUACUUAUCCUGGUUGGUGUAGAUAAAUUGGUGGCCUGGCCAGUCAAAUCUUUUCACAGGACUGCUCUCUUUAAGGUAGUUCCCGAUCUUGACAGUUCCCGAUCCUGACAAAGAUUAUGUUGUUUACACUGAUGCUUCGAUGAUAGGAUUAGGUUGUGUACUGAUACAAGAUGGCAAAGAACCUGAUACGAACUCUAAUCCAAGCAAUGUGCAGCCAUCAAACUCGGAAUCUCGAGCACAACAAAAUUCUGAUGCAGAGGCUGUUGACAGUGAUGAUGACCUGGUCAGUACCACUCAACAGGAUGGAGAUAUGCGUUUUGGUUUUGAAGAUGUGGAACAGCUCAUGAAUGAAAUUGGUAAUGUUCGUGGCAACUUGAGGUUGAUGCCCGAUUUCCAGAGGAGGGAAAUGGCUGCAAAAGUGGCAAUAAAAAUGGCUGCGAUGUUUGGAGAUAGCAGUGCUGAUGAAGAGGGGUUUGAUUGAUAAAGCUUGUGUCAUAAUAAGCAAAGUGAACCGAUCAACAGCUCCUCCAUUUGUCUGCUGAUUACAAGUCAAAUUCAUGUUAAUUGAAGAAUUGGAAUAUCUGUAAAAAAAAAAUGUGGUGAAUCAUCCUUUCUUUACUUUUUUUUUUGCUUAUAAAAGGGUGUAAGGUAAGGGUACUUUUAAUCAUGAUUUUUCUUAAAAUUUAAGGGCACACUUCUCAUGUCAGUAAAUCUUGAUCGAUACUCUAGAGAGUAGAAAGUAAUUUCUUUAAGGUUCUAUUAGACAGAAGCCGCG